Molecule: ribosomal RNA, 468 nt
Filed under: uncultured bacterium
Lineage: Bacteria
Description: partial 16S ribosomal RNA
Rfam family: Bacterial small subunit ribosomal RNA
Source: RNAcentral
GAUGAACGCUGGCGGCGUGCUUAAUACAUGCAAGUCGAGCGGUCAGGCGGGGGCUUGCCCUGCUGGACGUGAGGCGCACAGGGGAGAAAAACAUGAGCAAUACGCCCCUGAAUCAGGGGGAAGCCCUGGGAACGCCGUCUCAUAUUGGAUACGAGCUGCGAAGGCAUCUGCAGCAACAGGGAAGAACGUCGGUCAGGGAUGGGCUCGAGGGCUAUCCGCUUGUUGGUGAAGUAAUGGCUCACAAAGCCUACGAAGGGUAGCCCGCCUGGGAGGGUGACCGGCCACACUGGGACUGAGACACGGCCCAGACGCCUACGGGAGGCAGCAGUGGGGAAUAUUGCACAAUGGGCGAAAGCCUGAUGCAGCAACGCCGCGUGAGGGACGACGUCCUUCGGGUUGUAAACCUCUGUUAGCAGGGAAGAAGCGAAAGUGACGGUACCUGCAGAAAAAGCGCCGGCUAACUACGUG